Molecule: ribosomal RNA, 462 nt
Filed under: uncultured bacterium
Lineage: Bacteria
Description: partial 16S ribosomal RNA
Rfam family: Bacterial small subunit ribosomal RNA
Source: RNAcentral
GAUGAACGCUGACAGAAUGCUUAACACAUGCAAGUCAUUGGCGAAGCUGCGCUUGCGCAGUCUAGCCAAGGCGGACGGGUGAGUAACGCGUAAGGAACUUGCCCUGCAGACAGGGAUAACAGACGGAAACGACUGAUAACACCUGGUAUUGUCAGGCUGGCGCAUGCCGGCCUGAUGAAAGGAGACGCUGCAGGAGAGCCUUGCGUCCUAUUAGCUAGUUGGUGGGGUAACGGCCCACCAAGGCGAUGAUAGGUAGCCGGCCUGAGAGGGUGAACGGCCACAAGGGGACUGAGAUACGGCCCUUACUCGUACGGGAGGCAGCAGUGGGGAAUAUUGGACAAUGGGGGCAACCCUGAUCCAGCAAUUCUGUGUGCACGAAGAAGGUUUUCGGAUUGUAAAGUGCUUUCAGCAGGGAAGAAGAAAGUGACGGUACCUGCAGAAGAAGCGACGGCUAAAUACGUG